UGUCAAAAGGAUUCACAAAACGAACAGAUC
This 30-nucleotide non-coding RNA is filed under the name Rattus norvegicus (Norway rat). The record is from RNAcentral. Lineage: Eukaryota; Metazoa; Chordata; Mammalia; Rodentia; Muridae.